Molecule: ribosomal RNA, 215 nt
Filed under: uncultured Staphylococcus sp.
Lineage: Bacteria; Bacillati; Bacillota; Bacilli; Caryophanales; Staphylococcaceae
Description: partial 16S ribosomal RNA
Rfam family: Bacterial small subunit ribosomal RNA
Source: RNAcentral
UACCUAUAAGACUGGGAGUAACUUACUGGAAACCGGAGCUAAUACCGGAUAAUAUAUUGAACCGCAUGGUUCAAUAGUGAAAGACGGUUUUGCUGUCACUUAUAGAUGGAUCCGCGCCGCAUUAGCUAGUUGGUAAGGUAACGGCUUACCAAGGCAACGAUGCGUAGCCGACCUGAGAGGGUGAUCGGCCACACUGGAACUGAGACACGGUCCAG